Molecule: long non-coding RNA, 629 nt
Organism: Zophobas morio
Lineage: Eukaryota; Metazoa; Arthropoda; Insecta; Coleoptera; Tenebrionidae
Exons: 5
Source: RefSeq, a predicted model, not a curated record
AGCCCAUCAUUACGGUUGUGCAAACGCUCUUGAGGUUGUGUGUCAACGCUACUAACAGUUGAGCUACCACGACAACUCUCGAUCCCGGAUGUUAACAAUAUAACGCUAUAUGAACAAUUUUCUCCUGCUCUCGCACUCACGUCAACUUGAUUAUUGAACGCAUUGGAACGUAUUAUACAGAGAAUAUAUGACUGUUCACAAAUCUUUAGUAACAAGGUAAGGAUAUAUCAGUUUGUGAAUUAUUUUUGCUCCCCGAGAGGAGUCAUAAAAUUGGGGAGAUGACCUCCUCACCUUUUUAGCAGGGGAAGCCCACCCUAUAAACUACCCCCACCUAAAGUUACGGAUUUAAGUUUGCCUACUUUCCUUACCUACGUUGUUCUAUUAACUUGGAGCUAUCUACCUUGAAUACCUUCUGCGUUCACGAAUACGGCAAUAUACUGUAUCAUUGAGCCCAAGGAUGUAAAGAAAAGGCACAUAUUAAUUCAGGAGAGAUGGCGCGCGAAUUAAGAAUCGGAGGCUUUACUAAGCUGGUGUUUAAAUUCCAUAGUUAGUAAGCUUUUUCCUCUGGGUACGAAGCUAACGGUAGGGAGGGCCUUAAUUUUUAGUGUUGCCGACGUCUCUAAAAGGCC